UACGAGGGGGGCAAGCGUUGUUCGGAAUUAUUGGGCGUAAAGGGUGCGUAGGCGGUCUGACAAGUCUGAUGUGAAAUCUAUGGGCUCAACCCAUAGUCUGCAUCGGAAACUGUCGGGCUUGAGUAUGGGAGAGGUGAGUGGAAUUUCCGGUGGAGCGGUGAAAUGCGUAGAGAUCGGAAAGAACACCAACGGCGAAAGCACUCUGCUGGGCCGACACUGACACUGAGAGACGAAAGCUAGGGGAGCGAAUGGG
RNAcentral lists this ribosomal RNA (253 nucleotides) under uncultured bacterium. RNAcentral's name for it is "partial 16S ribosomal RNA". It matches the Rfam family "Bacterial small subunit ribosomal RNA", at positions 524 to 776 of the family's 1533-position model. The record is from RNAcentral.